This 883-nucleotide long non-coding RNA is filed under the name Pan troglodytes (chimpanzee). RNAcentral's name for it is "lincRNA". The record is from RNAcentral. Lineage: Eukaryota; Metazoa; Chordata; Mammalia; Primates; Hominidae.
AUCUCUCGAAAUCUGCAGACAUCUUGAUUUUUCCCACGCUGUCUGUCAGGUCUCCGCCGCCACUCGACGCCAGGGCGCCGGGCCUUGUGGGCUGUGCUGCACCUCGGACGGCUUCGCACCAGCCAGCGCCCUCUCUCUCCUGCAGCACUCUGAUCUGCACCCCCUGAGGGGCUUCCACUGUCCGCGGGGUGAGAAUGCCCCUGGGAAUGUCACAUGACUGCCGCCCCAUGUGUGUGAGAGGUGUCCUCUGGGAGAGCAUGGAUCCUGAGGUCCCAGGAUUGUCAGCUGACCUCUGUCCUGUGUGCCCAGUGGCCCCAGGUGACGUGUCUUCAAGAAGAGGCUGAGCUGCGGUGCUUGUAAGGCAGGGUCUCACUCUGUCACCCAGGCGGCUGGAGUGCAGUGGUGCAAUGAUGGCUCACUGCAGCCUCGACCUGGGCUCAAGUGAUCCUCCACCUCAGCUUCCCGAGUAGCUGGGACCACAGGUCUCAGCCUUAGAUCCAAGGACAGUCCAAGGAAGUCCUAAGACCAUGGAGUUGGUGAUCUGGGAUCUGGGUUUGCUGAUAUUUCUCACCAUGAAUCUCUUGGUGGUGUUUGUGGGCAUGAGAGGGGCAGAGAAUAGAGAGUGAGGCUACCACAUGAAGCGUCACCAGAGCUGCUCCCUGCUGCCUGCUCAGAGCACCCCGGAUCCACUGUUCAAUCUGCACAAGAUUCGGGGUCCAGACAUGGGAGACUUCAGCUGCCUCAGAGGACCGUGGACAGGGAAGGCCAGCCUCGCAUCCCUCUGUCCAUGCCUGGAAUGACUUUAAUAACCAAGAGUUUUAUUCUUGAAUUUGUAGCUGUCGUUCACUUUUUACCCACCCAUUCAAUAAACCUUACAGAAUUG